CACGUAGGCGGUCCAUUAAGUUCUGCGUGAAAUCCCCCGGCUCAACCGGGGAACUGCGUCGAAUACUGAUGGACUCGAGGACGGUUGGGGUGAGUGGAACUCCUGGUGGAGCGGUGAAAUGCGUAGAUAUCAGGAGGAACACCAGUGGCGAAAGCGGCUCACUGGACCGUAUCUGACGCUGAGGUGCGAAAGCUAGGGUAGCGAACG
This 207-nucleotide ribosomal RNA is filed under the name uncultured bacterium. RNAcentral describes it as "partial 16S ribosomal RNA". It matches the Rfam family "Bacterial small subunit ribosomal RNA", at positions 568 to 774 of the family's 1533-position model. The record is from RNAcentral.